GGGGAAUCUUGCACAAUGGGGGAAACCCUGAUGCAGCGACGCCGCAUGAGUGAUGAAGCCCUUCGGGGUGUAAAGCUCUUUCGACAGGAACGAUAAUGACGGUACCUGAAGAAGAAGCUGCGGCUAACUACGUGCCAGCAGCCGCGGUAAUACGUAGGCAGCAAGCGUUGUUCGGAAUUACUGGGCGUAAAGAGUGCGUAGGUGGUUGGCUAAGUUUGGUGUGAAAUCUCCCGGCUCAACUGGGAGGGUGCGCCGAAAACUGGCUAGCUAGAGUGUGGGAGAGGGACGUGGAAUUCCUGGUGUAGCGGUGAAAUGCGUAGAUAUCAGGAGGAACACCUGCGGUGUAGACGGCGUCCUGGACCAUUACUGACACUGAGGCACGAAAGCGUGGGGAGCAAAC
Molecule: ribosomal RNA, 400 nt
Filed under: uncultured bacterium
Lineage: Bacteria
Description: bacterial SSU rRNA
Rfam family: Bacterial small subunit ribosomal RNA
Source: RNAcentral